RNAcentral lists this transfer RNA (74 nucleotides) under Acinetobacter sp. RNAcentral's name for it is "tRNA-Gly". It matches the Rfam family "tRNA". From Rfam's summary of the family: Transfer RNA (tRNA) molecules are approximately 80 nucleotides in length. The record is from RNAcentral. Lineage: Bacteria; Pseudomonadati; Pseudomonadota; Gammaproteobacteria; Moraxellales; Moraxellaceae. RNAcentral also lists the same sequence under 3 other names.
GCGGGGUUCGUAUAAUGGUAAUACCCUAGCCUUCCAAGCUAGAGCCGCGGGUUCGAUUCCCGUACCCCGCUCCA